RNAcentral lists this ribosomal RNA (450 nucleotides) under uncultured bacterium. RNAcentral describes it as "partial 16S ribosomal RNA". It matches the Rfam family "Bacterial small subunit ribosomal RNA", at positions 354 to 796 of the family's 1533-position model. The record is from RNAcentral.
GUGGGGAAUAUUGGACAAUGGGCGAAAGCCUGAUCCAGCCAUGCCGCGUGUGUGAAGAAGGUCUUCGGAUUGUAAAGCACUUUAAGUUGGGAGGAAGGGCAGUAAGUUAAUACCUUGCUGUUUUGACGUUACCGACAGAAUAAGCACCGGCUAACUUCGUGCCAGCAGCCGCGGUAAUACGAAGGGUGCAAGCGUUAAUCGGAAUUACUGGGCGUAAAGCGCGCGUAGGUGGUUUUGUAAGUUGGAGGUGAAAUCCCCGGGCUCAACCUGGGAACUGCCUCCAAAACUGCAUGACUAGAGUACGGUAGAGGGUAGUGGAAUUUCCUGUGUAGCGGUGAAAUGCGUAGAUAUAGGAAGGAACACCAGUGGCGAAGGCGACUACCUGGACUAAUACUGACACUGAGGUGCGAAAGCGUGGGGAGCAAACAGGAUUAGAUACCCGGGUAGUCC